CUGCGGAUCCCUGGAUGGCAGCCUCGGUGCAUAGGUUUUGUGCGGAUAGCGGGUCUGUCUGAAGCCAGACGUCUAUGGUCCCAGCUGCUGGUUGAGAGCUAGGCCGGAGUGUACUGCCCGAGGCGGGAAACUGAGCAGCCAGCA
RNAcentral lists this non-coding RNA (144 nucleotides) under Pyramimonas parkeae. The record is from RNAcentral. Lineage: Eukaryota; Viridiplantae; Chlorophyta; Pyramimonadophyceae; Pyramimonadales; Pyramimonadaceae.